Molecule: unclassified non-coding RNA, 295 nt
Filed under: uncultured fungus
Lineage: Eukaryota; Fungi
Description: sequence contains ITS1
Rfam family: 5.8S ribosomal RNA (bases 1-105)
Source: RNAcentral
GAAAUGCGAUAAGUAAUGUGAAUUGCAGAAUUCAGUGAAUCAUCGAAUCUUUGAACGCACAUUGCGCCCCGUGGUAUUCCGCGGGGCAUGCCUGUUCGAGCGUCAGUACAACACUCAAGCUCUGCUUGGUAUUGGACCACAUCAGUUCUGAUCGGUCUUAAAAUCAGUGGCGGUGCCAUCGUGCUCUAAGCGUAGUAAUACUCCUCUCGCUACAGGGUCUCGGUGCGUGCUUGCCAGCAACCCCCAACUUUCUAAGUUUGACCUCGGAUCAGGUAGGGAUACCCGCUGAACUUAA